Plectropomus leopardus (leopard coralgrouper) is the source of this 538-nucleotide non-coding RNA. NCBI's taxonomy places the organism in Eukaryota, Metazoa, Chordata, Actinopteri, Perciformes, Serranidae. The record is from RefSeq and is a predicted model, not a curated record.
GUGUUUAGUGCUCAGGGCUUUAAGUGUGGAGCCGACUGGACCAGAGUCACGUUCAGUCCUGACGGCAGCUAUGUGGCGGGAGGAUCAGCUGAAGGAGCUCUGUACAUCUGGAAUGUUCUGACGGGGAAAGUUGACCGAACUCUGGACCGAAACCACAACUCUGCCAUCAACUCGGUGUCGUGGUCACCUUCGGGAGCGUACGUGGCCAGUGUGGAGAAAGGAAGCAAGACCAUCCUGUGGUCUGACAUGUGAUUGGCCGAGGAGGAGGAGGGACGCUGAUGAGCGGGAGGAGUCCGACCAUCAAACUCCUGAACUCAGACUGACUUGUGCCGAGAAGACUCGUUUUAAGAGCACUCGGACUGAGAGGACUCGUUUUAAGAGCACUCGGACUGAGAGGACUCGUUAAGAGCACUCGGACUGAGAGGACUCGUGUUGUUCUGCCUUCGUGUCGACGUGUUCAACAUAAACUCGGCUUCAUGUGUCACGAAAACAAACUGCCGACUUCAUCAGCUGCAACAAUAAAGUCUUUAUUAACACA